Non-coding RNA from Myodes glareolus (Bank vole), 798 nucleotides. Lineage: Eukaryota; Metazoa; Chordata; Mammalia; Rodentia; Cricetidae. The record is from RefSeq and is a predicted model, not a curated record.
ACCUUGGCCAGUCCUCCUCCUCAGCCUCAGUUUCUCCGUGCCCAGGAAUAACUCCCUUCUGGGACCCUGGGAGGGAGCAUUUUCUUGGAGUUUGGCUGGGUUGGGGAAUGGGAUGGAGAACUCCUGUCUCCUGCAGUUGGGGAUUAGUGUAAGCUCGGGCUGGGGUGGUGGGCAGACUGCCCUAGAGAUGGGUGAAGACGAUCAGGGCUGCUUCUCCUGUACCCAGCUGGCCCUGUGCCACUUGGGAGGUCUGCCAAUGAGUCACUCUCAGGUUUGGGUGCUGUUGUCCUGGUUCUCAAAAGCCUCAGGCCUCAGCCAGGUUCUUACCGGUCCCAGCUACUUGUCAGGGCUUCCCACUGUCUGAUCCAGAUGGGGGCCAGAACCUUGGCCCAGAAGGCUGGUCAGGAGCACCCCAAGGCUGGGGCGUCCGGCUGCAGAUGCAAUGAGCCUAGUUGGCGGUGUGCACAGCUUGGAUAAAUUAAUUUCUUAUAUCAUGAUGUGGACUUCCCCUGGGGUCUCCCCAAGAACACACAUGGAAGACGGCGACUUCACUACAUUUCCCAAGUCAGUUACCCAGUGCUGUUGCUGUGGGCACCGGAGUCCUUCUCCCACAUCUUCCUCUCGCUGUCCUGGAACUUGCUAUGUAAACCAGACUGACCUGAAAUUUAAAGAUCCUCUGCCUCCUGAAUGCAGGAAAUAAAGGCGUGCGUCACCACACCCAUCCAUAACUUCUCUUCCUUGAUUGUCUCUGGUGUUCAACUCCUAAGAAUAAAGAAUCAGUAAUGUGCCUGUCUUGCA